CUCCAAGUUAUUGGGUUCAACGACUCUUUACUGAAUCUAGUGGAGCAACCUUACUUAAUUCAACUCUCGAAACUUCUUCUCCUGCAAUUGUUGCAUCGACAAUUAAGUAUAAAAAUUCUCAAGAUGGGAAAAAUUAUCUAAGAGUAAAGGUGGUAAACUUUGGAAAAGACAUUGAGAAUUUAGGAAUUUCAAUAAACGGCUUAAAUACAAAUGGGCAACCAUCUGCUUCAUCAAUGGUGGUGCUUACAUCCUCCAAUAUAAUGGAUGAAAAUUCCUUCUCAGAGCCAAUGAAGAUUGUGCCUCGAAGAACAAUAUUCGGGAAUGCAAGCAAGGACAUGAAUGUUAAACUUUCUCCUUAUUCGGUUACAUCAUUGGAUCUAUUAUUUUAAAAUGUUAAGGUGAAAUAUUGCUUUAUUUUUUGAUAGAAUAAGAGAAAUGCAUAUAUUUUUUGUAGAUGAAAUUUAGGUGAGGAGAUGAAGCCCGAAUCUAAUAAAGAAGGAAAAAUCUUAGGGCUAAAAAAACAAUUACAAAAAAUACAUUUAAUUUCCUUGAAGAACACGGGUGGACUCAAAACGAAAACCUCUAUAUGUCUAGAUUCAAGAAAUGUAUAUAUUUCUAUUACAUCUGUAUAUAAAUUAUUAUUAUUAUUAUUAUUAUUAUUAUUAUUAUUAUUAUUAUUAUUUAAUAUCAUCAUCAUCAUCAUCUUUGAGAAUCUAAUUCUUGAUCUUGUAUAUUUCUAGCUAGCACAUAUAUUUUUAUUGAAAAAAACCGUUUAGUUAAUACCAAGGUAAUCAGAACCGGACUGGACAUUAAACCAGCGUGCUUAGGUUUAAUAGGUCGGACCGAUGUUCAAUCGGGUGGAACCGUUUUUUAUUAUAUAUAUAUAUAUAUAUAUAUAUUAAAAUAAUAAUUACCAUUGUUUUUUUUUUAAAAUUAUUCAUCACAUUUUAUGUUGAUUAUUAUAUUUUACUUAUGUUCUUUUUUGUCAAAAAUAAAAGCAAAAGAACUAUAAUGUGAAGUUAAUUACUAUAGUAGAUAGUAGACACCCCAUAAAAUAGAUCUUGGGCCCAUCUACAAAAGCCCUACCCACCGUUCAAAAUUUUAGUAGAGUAAAAGGAAUAGAAAUGUUAUUUGUACAACUAAUUUUGGACAAUAUUUCAUACUCACAUUAUAUUUUUACUCUUUCUCAUUCUCUUUCACUUAAUUGUUUUUUGUAUCGGAUGAAGAAGGAACAAAAAGUUGUUGCAAAAUACUCUCUCCGUCUCAAAAUAUAAGCAAAAGUGGGUCAAAUAAACUUGAUGUAUUUGGUUAAAGAUUUGGACCAAAUACAUCUACUUUUGUUGACCAACUUUUACUUAUAUUUUUGGACGGAGGGAGUAGUUGUACAAAUAACACAACUCUAAAAGAAAAUCCUACUUUAUAUUCUUUCAGCCGCCACCCCUAUGUAGCUUAUUCUUUUUUCUUUAUCCGUUAAACUCAAACUCUACUACUCAUCUCUUCUUCCUCCGUUUACAAACAAUCAUGAAUCAUAGUCACCCACACUACAUUUUCCCUCAUGUUUUAAUUAGCAAAGAUCAGGAUGCAAUACAAAUGAGUUGUUUUUUUGAAGAUCACCAAGAAUAUAAUUUCUCUUCACUCCUUCCUUCUUCUCAUACUAAAAAAUUCUUUUUUUUUAAAAUUUUUUUUUUUAAGAAAAACAGACCAACCCGGUAAACUGCGUGAACCGCAGGUUUUACCCCAGUUUUCCCGGUUUCCAACCGAUUUACGAGUUUAUCUUCUGAUUUUGUGCAUGAGCAAUUUUCAGGCUAAGUCGGACCGGAUGCAUGUGCGGUUCACGGCCCAAUCGGUUAAACUGGCCGGUCCGGUUCGGUUUUUAUUACCAUGGUUAAUAUGCAUUAUCACUUUUAUAUUCUUGAUAAAUUUUGGAAGAAUUUAAGAAGGAUUGCACAAAUAAUAAUAAUAAUAAUAAUAAUAAUAAUAAUAAUAAUAAUAAGGCUUAAUUGCAUAUUUACUAUUUAGUCCCUUAUCUUUAUUUUAGUUACGUUGGUCUCUAUGUUUUAAAAGUUUUUAUUUGAUCGUUUACAUUCAUUCUUUUUAUUAUAUUUUGAGUUAAUUUCGUCUAUCUUUAUCUUAAAUUUUGAGUUGAUUUCGUCUAAAACUUUCACAUGACACCCUCCUAAGUUGUCUUCGUAUGAAAAUUUGUUAGUUACAUGAAUGAUUUAAACGGAAAUUUGACUAAAAUUAAUGACUAAUUUGAAACUUUUUAAACUUAAGGCUUUCACAAAAUCAAAUCAAAAGUAAGGCUUUCUUUCAAACUACACCAAUUAAUCAUAUUAUCAAAAACCAACGGAAUACUCAAAUUCAGAAUCAACCACAAACAAAAUCGUAGAACUAAAUUUACAAUCAACCACACACAUAACUUAUAAUAUAUUAAAAUAGCAUAGAAAUGUAAUAAAAAUAGUCAUGUCAUCCCUUUUAUUAUUACUAGCAGCCAGACGGGCACGUUCCGUGGCCGCCUGUGUGAUAUCCGAAUUUUGUAUUGUAUUAAGUUGUGUAAAAGAUGAUAUUUUAGAUUUUUUAUGAAUAGUUGUCUUUUGGAAAACAACAAAUUAAGUUGGCCAGAGACAUAUAAGUCAAUGUGAAAACAUCUUAAUUGAAAAAAUGAGAACCAAAAAAUGAAAGGAUGGGAAAGGGGAGAUAUAGAAAUUGAAUGUUCAUUAAGCAACAUAUUGAUAUUCAUUGAAAUUCUUCAACAUAAAUUUUUCACACAUUUUCUUUGUAAUGCUUUUUGUGGCAGAGUGUAUAAUUACUCAAAUGAUUGCAUGCAUUCCAUCAAGUUCUUGUUAAAACUUAAAACAAUUGUCUAGGUACAUAUUGGGAAGAAUGAAUUGAACUACAAUCAAGACAAAAACAAAUAUAUAUGUAAAAAGAAUUAUCAUACAACUCCGAUUCUUCCUCUGCUUAAAGUUUAAAAAAUUGAGUAAAAUUAUACAAUCUGCCACAGAAAGCAUUACAAAGAAAAUGUGUAAAAAAUGCAUGUUGAAGAAUUCCAAUGAAUAUCAAUAUGUUGCUUAUAAUGAACAUUAAUUUCUAUAUCUUCCCUUUCCCAUCGUUUUUUCUCUUUAAUAAGAUACAAUAAUAUUGUAGAAACUCUUAGAAGAAACCCAUGACACUUCUAAGUGAAAUACCAAAGCAUAAAUGACAGUCGAAAACAUACUUUUUUUUUAAGAGAAUGAGGAAACAUGUAUAAUAUAUUUUUAUCUCAUCGCUACUUACUUUUUUUUUUUUUUGAAUGGCAAAUAAAAUACAUCACUACUUACUUGUUAUUUGUACAACUAUUUUGCUACAACUUGUUUAUUAAUGAUCACCAUGUCUUUCAUCAACAACAACUUCCCCUCUUUGACUCUCCCUUCUUACGGUCAGUUUAUUUUGUUAGGGAUAUUAUGAUGUCGAUUGAAAAGAAUGGCAGGAGUGGAAUUUGAAACCAAAAAGAGUCACAUUUGGUUUCACAAUUAUAGUAACUGACUCUAUCUCAUUGAGGAUUUUGAAACUUUGAAUUGAGAAAACUGUCUCAUUGAGGAUUUUUAUUUUUUUUAAUAUUUGUUGCACGUCUCGAUAACCGUGCUGUGAAUGGAGAAAAAAUGUAUUGUAUUUUUGUCCAACUUUUUUGUGUUUAUAUAACACACCUCUAGUUUUAUGGACCUUUAGGCAGUCAGAAACAAUUUUAAACAUGAGGUGUUAGCUGAGUGGUAAAGAACAUAAUCUUGUAACUUCAAGAUACAUAGUUCAAAAUCAUUGUGUCACGUAAAACAUUUUUUUUUGGUGUCCUUUUCAAUUCAUUGCUUAUCAAAAUUUUCAUAUAAAAUUGUUCUACUAUAUGUUCAUAAGAAUUUUCCGUCAAAAAAAAAAAUGUACAUAAGAAUUAAUUUUUGAGAACACAAAUAAAAAUAUUCACUAAAAAGCUAUUUACCGUACAAGGUGUGUCACAAAUAGAAAAAUACAUGGGUUAAUAACAACCCAUACAAAAGUCAAAACAUGUACAAUACAACACCCGAGAGGAUAGGUACACCAUUGAUAAAAAUAAAAACAGAAAUCUUUAACAUUAAAUACGAGCUAACUCCAUGAAAAAUUAUUUGCAUCCUAAAACAUUAUGUAUUUCUCACAUUCCUUUAGCGGUUUACUUUUCUCUUUGAUUGUGUGUUUGGUCAUUUCUGAGUGCUAUGCUGAUACUAAUGCUAAUCCCAAUGCUAGCCAGAACAUAUCAAAGUUAGUGAUUGAUGCAGGUUCUGGAAGAAAUAUUCCAGAUACAUUGUUUGGAGUAUUUUAUGAGGAGAUUAAUCAUGCAGGAGCUGGGGGAUUAUGGGCAGAACUUGUGAAUAAUAGAGGCUUUGAAGGAGGGGUUGCUGCCAAUCUUCCCCCCAUUUAUCCAUGGAAAAUUAUUGGAGAGAAUCAAUCAUCCAUUACCGUAUCAACUGAUCUUUCAUCUUGUUUUGAGCGUAAUAAAAUUGCAUUACGCAUGGAUAUUCUAUGNNNNNNNNNNNNNNNNNNNNNNNNNNNNNNNNNNNNNNNNNNNNNNNNNNNNNNNNNNNNNNNNNNNNNNNNNNNNNNNNNNNNNNNACAACAAAUAAAGGGGUAUUAUGGUUAGAUCAAGUGUCAGCUAUGCCUUUGGAUACAUAUAAAGGUCAUGGUUUCCGAAGUGAUCUUUUUAAAAUGGUGGCAGAUUUGAAACCAAAAUUUUUAAGAUUCCCCGGUGGUUGUUAUGUCGAGGGAGAUUAUAUAAAAAAUGCUUUUAGGUGGAAAGAUUCAGUUGGGCCAUGGGAAGAGAGAGCUGGUCACUUAGACGACAUUUGGCAUUAUUGGAGCGAUGAUGGACUUGGUUAUUUUGAGGGUCUUCAACUAGCAGAGGAUCUUGGCGCAUUACCUGUAUGGGUGUUCAAUAAUGGUUUUAGCCAUCACGAUGAAGUUAGUACUGAUGCAAUUCAACCAUUUGUGGAUGAAGCUCUAGAUGGCAUUGAGUUUGCUAGAGGUCCUGCCACAUCACGAUGGGGUUCUCUUAGAGCUUCCAUGGGACAUCCUGAACCAUUUAAUUUGAGAUUUGUUGCUAUUGGAAAUGAAGAUUGUGGUAAAAAGUACUAUGAAGGGAAUUAUAUGAAAUUCUAUGAAGUUAUACGACGUACUUAUCCUGAUAUUCAGAUGAUAUCAAACUGUGACGGUUCUGAUGUACCACUAAACCAUCCUGCAGAUAUCUAUGAUUACCAUAUUUANNNNNNNNNNNNNNNNNNNNNNNNNNNNNNNNNNNNNNNNNNNNNNNGUGUUGGAAGUCUUUAUGCAGCUGUUGCUGAAGCUGCAUUCCUUAUUGGAAUUGAAAGGAAUAGUGAUGUAGUUAGUAUGGUUUCAUAUGCACCCCUCCUUUUAAACACAAACGAUAGAGGGUGGAUACCAGAUGCAAUUGUUUUUAACUCUUAUCAAAGUUAUGGAACUCCAAGUUAUUGGGUCCAACGACUCUUUACAGAAUCUAGUGGAGCAACCUUACUUAAUUCAACUCUCCAAACUUCUUCUCCUACAAUUGUUGCAUCAACAAUUAAGUAUAAAAAUUCUCAAGAUGGGAAAAAUUAUCUAAGAGUAAAGGUGGUAAACUUUGGAAAAGACAUUGAGAACUUAGAAAUUUCAAUAAACGGCUCAAAUACAAAUGUACAACGAUCUGCUUCAUCAAUAGUAAACUUUGGAAAAGACAUCGAAAACUUAAUGGACGGCUUAAAUACAAAUUUGCAACCAUCUGCUUCAUCAAUGGUGGUGCUUACGUCCUCCAAUAUAAUGGAUGAGAAUUCCUUCUCAGAACCAAUGAAGAUUGUGCCUCGAAGAUCUGUAUUUGGGGAUGCAAGCAAUGGAAUGAAUGUUAAACUUUCUCCUUAUUCAGUUACAUCGUUGGAUCUAUUAUUUUAAAUGUUAUGGUGAAAUAUUGUUUUAUUUUUUGUUAGAAUAAGAGAAAUGUAUAUAUUUUUUAAAUAUGAAAUUUAGGUGAGGAGAUGAUGCCCCAAUUUAAGAAAGGAAAAACCUUAGGACUGAAAAAACAAUUACGUAAAAAUACAUUUACUUUCCUUCAAGAGCAUUGGCGGAAUCAAACCGUAAACCUCUAUAUUUCUAGAUUCAAGAAAUGUAUAUAUUUCUAUUACAUAUAAAUUAUUAUUGUUAUUUUUAUCUUUGAGAUAAUCUAAUUCUUAAUCUUAGCCUAUAA
Molecule: long non-coding RNA, 6235 nt
Filed under: Trifolium pratense (red clover)
Lineage: Eukaryota; Viridiplantae; Streptophyta; Magnoliopsida; Fabales; Fabaceae
Description: long non-coding RNA (TPRA_LNC003863)
Source: RNAcentral